Molecule: long non-coding RNA, 3507 nt
Organism: Peromyscus eremicus (cactus mouse)
Lineage: Eukaryota; Metazoa; Chordata; Mammalia; Rodentia; Cricetidae
Exons: 3
Source: RefSeq, a predicted model, not a curated record
UCUGGGACAUCAGUGUAAAUAAGACUCUUAGAAACCUUAGGAGGAAAGAAAAGAGAUCACUAUGUUAAAAGAAAGUUCCCUAAGCCAAUUAAAUUAUGGAGGAACUAUGCAAAUUAAACCCUAACAAAUACAUAGUGAAGGAGAAAAAAAAAGAUACAUUACCCAUAAGUGGGUUAGGAGCAGUUUGAAGGUCACUGAGUGUCAAAAGAUACAUUGGCCUAACAUCUCAGUGCUAGUGCCUCAAACACAAUUUAUUACCAGCACCACAGCUGGGUCAGUGCUGGGUCUGCUGUCUAUAAUUUGUAUGAGGAUGAUGGGCAGUGUAAAGGUCAUCUGAGUUCAUAGGCCACUGACCCUGCCUGAUUUUGUUGUUGGUUCCAACUUGAAUUCUACAGUGCUCUAGCUAGGAAUCUCACUGAAUCGCUUUCAUGAGUCUUGGGUUUCACAAUCUCAAGGAUCCUUUGCUUCUUAAAGAUAUCCUUUUUCUCAUACAAAAUUACCUGCCCCGUGUGAUGCCCUGCAUUUUGUUCAAGUCAGAGUAUAUCCUACUUUUAAAAAACAUCCAUAGUGGGGCUACAGAGAUAGGUCUGUGUUUCAAGUUCUAACCACAUGAGAACAAUGACCUGUACUUAGGUUUCCAUAACUACAGUAAAUAGGUAGGUGCUGUAGUUCUAAUAAUACCGUGCAUGUGAGGCCCUGGUUGGCAGGGCCUAGGUGUCCCAGGAGAGGGGGAAACAUGCCAUGCAAACACAGCGGUGGGCUGCAGCUCUUGGAAAGUCAUUAACACCCCAGGCACUGCAUCCAUGUGGAGAGAGUUUAGUACAGUACAAAGAUAGAGAGAAAGAUAGGGAAGAGAGAGAGAGAGAGAGAGAGAGAGAGAGAGAGAGAGAGAGAGAGAGAGAAAGAGAGAAAGAGAGAAAGAGAGAAAGACAGGGGAAGAGGGAGAGAGAAAGAGAGAAGGGAGGAUCAGCAGAGAUGUGCCUACCUUAUGGUGGGAAAGAGGAAGGGACUGGGAGAGAAAGCAAAGGGGGAGGAGUUUUUUCCUUCAAGGGAAUAUAGGAUUACAUCAGGAGGAUCCUGGGCAGGUCCUCAAGGGGUGGGCCAGACUACUAACAGGAGUCAACCAGCACAACAACAGUUGGGAAGAGGAGACAGUGUGAUCCUUGAUCUUGGAAGUUGGUUUAUUCAGGGCCCUGCGGUGGAAAUUAUUUCAAAGUUAUCAUGUAGAUUGAUAACAUGUGUCACAAUGGAAAGCUCUGGUAAUUUGAAUGAAAAUGGCCUCAUAAACUCACAAGGGGCUGUCACUGUUGGAGGUGUGGCUUUGUUAAAGUAGGUGUGGCAUUGUUGGAGGAAGUGCUUCAAUGGGGGCAGGCUUUGAUAUCUCAAAAGUUAAAGCCUGGGCUAAUGUAUCUCAUUCUCUUCCUGCUGACUGUGGAUCCAUGUGUAGAACUCUCAGCUACCUUUCCAGAACCAUGUCUGCCUGCAUGCCCCCAUGCUUCCUGCCACAAUGAUGGACUAAACUUGUGAACUAUAAGCCAGCCCCAGUUAAAUGUUUUCCUUUAUAAUAGUUGACGUGGUCAUGAUGUCUUUGCACAGCAACAGAAACCCCAAAUAAUACAAAAGCAGAAGUCUGAAUAAUUAUGUGGACUCAUCAAGGAUUACUACACACUAUACUUGUAGAAAGAAUCCCUGAGUAUGAUGUGGAGAGGCAGCCCAGACACAGAGGAGUCCAGCCUGUAUACCUCUCUGAAUAGGCUCUUCUGUGACCUGAGCUCUGUGUGAUUUUAGCGCCCCCUGCUGGUCCUGAGUGUUCUGCAUGGAAGUUCCUAUCUUAGCUCACAUUAUUUCACUAUGAAGCUUGCACAGUAAUAUAUGGUUGUGUCUCAGACCUCAGACUGCCCAUUUCUAGGUCCAAGGUGUUCUUGGCAUUGUCUCUGGAGUUGGUGAGUCAGCCCUUCACAGUAUCUACAUCUUUGAUAUUUCUACUGUUAUAAUUAAUGUAUGUGACCAACUCCAGCCCCUUCCCUAAAGCCUGGAGGACCACUCCAUGACUUCUGUCUACAGUCACUGAAUACGAAUCCAGAGUCUAUGCAGGAGAGUUUCAGGGACUUUCCAGGCUGCAGGAAGUCUCCCCCACUUCCCCUGACUCCAACAGUUGCACCUCACACUGGACACUUGCAAACACAGCAAAUGCUGUUCAGAAAACUUUCACAAAAAUAAUUUUUCUCUUUUCCAUGUCCAUACAACACACAGAAUCUCAUCUCAAUAAUUACUUUUUAAAACAAUGAUAAUGAAAACCAAGGUGAGCCCCAAGUCUUGGGAAUCCAGGGCUGGGUUCCUCUGCCAGAGCUUCAGGGUCAGGGCAGGGCUGGUUUUCAUGGGCACAGAGAAGCUUUAUUUGCAUGUCGGACCUGGAGAGAGGGAACUGCUCAGAGCAGAUAUAAAAUGUCAAUAACAAUGAUGACAGAGAUGGAAAUAGACGGAGUAAGGUGGCUCCAUGUUCACGCUUUCCUCAUUAAGGAUUCAUCACACUUCCUUUGGUUCCUUUACCAGCAUGUGCUCAAAACAUGCUCUGUUUCCAUACUGCUUGUCUCUUAGUAUCAAUGUGUAAUGAAAUACUACCACACAAAACUGUGUUUCUAUAUAGGAGCUCAGUCUUUUCCACUGUCUGGGCUGGACUUGGCUUCUUCUCCCUGAUGAGGAUCUUGGACAGAGUCAGACCUACAGGGUGAUGUUAGCAGAACUCACUCUCUGUGAUGAGAACACUUGAUAAUUUUCUGUAUUUUACUUAUUUGUGAGAGAACCAUAUCCACAGGCCUUUUAGAGGUUUAUAAUGAGGCAUUCCAUGGCAACAUCUAUCUACUGCUCAGUCUGUUAUGGAGACAUAUUCUGUUUGCAGCAAACUCCCUGCUUUGGCAUCCUGAAGUCCUCUCUUUUAUUCCUUUUAAGUUCCCCUUCCACCAUUUGCUUUUUCCAGCUUAUACCAGGCAACAUGGGGCUGUCUUUAUGAAACAAUUCUCUUGACACGGAGCCGAGAUGAGUAUUACCUUGAGCAGCUAUUGGAAACACCAGAUGACUGACUGUGAGAUUUGGAUUUAGCUGGCCUGGGUGUUCCUGGAAUAAGGGAAUGCAGGUGCAGUGUGAGAAUUCCUGUAUGACUUGCCUUCCUGAAAUGAUGGACUGCACCACUGACACCUUCAGCCAAACGAACCCUUCCUCUCUGAAGUUGCUUCCUGUUAGAAAGCCAGAGGCUAUGGAUUUGUUCCAGAUUAAGAUACAUCAGGUUUAACCAGCCAAGACCCCCUGAAAGGUCUCCAAUGACACCAUGGCCCAGAUGAUCCAACAUCCAGAUCGGAUUCAAGGCUGGCUCAGACAAUACACCCUCAUGGACUACUCCAUAAUCCUAAAAUUUUCUUUAUGUCCCCAUGAGAUACAGCGCCCUCCUCCAGCAGGAAGUAGUAAGAGAAGCUACGCCCAAAUUCCAAAAUAUACCAAGCUGGCUUUGGA